UACGGGGGGGGCAGCGUUGUUCGGAAUUACUGGGCGUAAAGGGCUCGUAGGCGGCCAACUAAGUCAGACGUGAAAUCCCUAGGCUCAACCUAGGAACUGCGUCUGAUACUGGAUGGCUUGAAUCCGGGAGAGGGAUGCAGAAUUCCAGGUGUAGCGGUGAAAUGCGUAGAUAUCUGGAGGAAUACCGGUGGCGAAGGCGGCAUCCUGGACCGGCAUUGACGCUGAGGAGCGAAAGCCAGGGGAGCAAACGGG
Molecule: ribosomal RNA, 252 nt
Filed under: uncultured bacterium
Lineage: Bacteria
Description: partial 16S ribosomal RNA
Rfam family: Bacterial small subunit ribosomal RNA
Source: RNAcentral